CUCUAAAUGAUUGGUUGACAAGUUACAAGUUCGUCAGAUAUAUGAUAGUUUGCACUCUUGGUGAGUUGGCCCUCGUAGGCCAAAGACCAAGAUGGCGGGCUUUCUCACAGACAGGGUUCACUGGAUACUGGCAGCUGUCUCAGUCAGGAAACUCUCAGGAUACAGGAUCCUACCAGAACACGGGUAAAUGGAGGAGACCGGGAUGGACCGGAUCUCAGGAUAUCUGUGUAGCUGGAAAGCAGGAACCUCGGGCUCUCAGGGAACCGGAUGAAACGAAUUGAAUUGACCCAGAAGUGCCUGAGAACAAAGAAAACAACAAGAAAGUAAAUGAAAAUGGAAGCCUGCAUUGAGGAUAUGGGAAAAAAAAUUAAACCUGGAAAGAAAGAACAAUAAUAAAAGUAUUAUCUCCUGUUAUCA
RNAcentral lists this long non-coding RNA (417 nucleotides) under Monodelphis domestica (gray short-tailed opossum). RNAcentral's name for it is "lncRNA (ENSMODG00000031285.2)". The record is from RNAcentral. Lineage: Eukaryota; Metazoa; Chordata; Mammalia; Didelphimorphia; Didelphidae.